AUAGCUCAACUAUAGGCUUCGGGGGAUACUGCCAGACUGGAACCGGGAGAGGUAAGAGGUACUACAGGGGUAGGAGUGAAAUCUUGUAAUCCCCUGUGGGACCACCUGUGGCGAAGGCGUCUUACCAGAACGGGUUCGACGGUGAGGGACGAAAGCUGGGGGCACGAACCGGAUUAGAUACCCGGGUAGUCCCAGCCGUAAACGAUGCUCGCUAGGUGUCAGGCAUGGCGCGACCGUGUCUGGUGCCGCAGGGAAGCCGUGAAGCGAGCCACCUGGGAAGUACGGCCGCAAGGCUGAAACUUAAAGGAAUUGGCGGGGGAGCACAACAACGGGUGGAGCCUGCGGUUUAAUUGGACUCAACGCCGGACAACUCACCGGGGGCGACAGCAAUAUGUAGGCCAAGCUGAAGACUUUGCCUGAAUCGCUGAGGAGUGGUGCAUGG
Molecule: ribosomal RNA, 442 nt
Filed under: uncultured archaeon
Lineage: Archaea
Description: bacterial SSU rRNA
Rfam family: Archaeal small subunit ribosomal RNA
Source: RNAcentral